This 382-nucleotide ribosomal RNA is filed under the name uncultured Leptolinea sp. RNAcentral's name for it is "bacterial SSU rRNA". It matches the Rfam family "Bacterial small subunit ribosomal RNA", at positions 985 to 1382 of the family's 1533-position model. The record is from RNAcentral. Lineage: Bacteria; Bacillati; Chloroflexota; Anaerolineae; Anaerolineales; Anaerolineaceae.
CAUGCAAGUGGUAGGAAGCCGAAAGGUGACGACCCUUCGGGAGCUUGCACAGGUGCUGCAUGGCUGUCGUCAGCUCGUGUCGUGAGAUGUUCGGUUAAGUCCGCUAACGAGCGCAACCCUCGCUGUGUGUUAUAUGUGUCACACGGGACUGCCGGUCUUAAGCCGGAGGAAGGUGGGGAUGAUGUCAAGUCAGCAUGGCCUUUAUAUCCUGGGCUACACACACGCUACAAUGGCCAACACAAUAGGUUGCUAAGCCGCGAGGUGGCGCCAAUCCAUAAAGUUGGUCUCAGUUCAGAUUGUAGGCUGCAACCCGCCUGCAUGAAGAUGGAGUUGCUAGUAACCGCAGGUCAGCUAUACUGCGGUGAAUACGUUCCCGGGGCUU